Wasmannia auropunctata (little fire ant) is the source of this 2722-nucleotide long non-coding RNA. RefSeq lists it as uncharacterized. The record is from RefSeq and is a predicted model, not a curated record. The transcript is spliced from 5 exons. NCBI's taxonomy places the organism in Eukaryota, Metazoa, Arthropoda, Insecta, Hymenoptera, Formicidae.
CGUCUUCGUGUGUGGCCCGGCCGGCCGCGGGUCGCGCGUUUCGUGCUUCCGUGGCAUUCGCAAUGUUCGUUUCGCGACGUUUGCAGACACUCGCGAACGAUCGCGGUGGAUGUUGAGGUCGCCGACGUCGCGCGUGUGUGUGGGUCCUUUCCACUCUGCACGUCCAUCGACGACGAUUCGAAGAAGGACCGUCUCUCUUUUUCUCUGCCACUCCUGCCAAGGAAGCGUUCGGGCGUGCGAGAGAUCGUGAUCCCGUUGUGCCUUCGAAGCUUGGCUUCUCUCGACUAUGAGAUGUGCAAUGCGUUAAUGGAACUGGUAUCGCCGAUGGUGCCACUCAUUCACGCCAGCACUUCUUGGAUUAUUCGUAUGCAUAAGUACUACCAGUCUGAUUCGGACCGUUUUCAUGCGACAUAUCCGGCAGAGGUGUAACAGCAAUAAGAGCAGCAGCAGCUACGACGAUCUCAGCAACAAUUGCAGCAGAUAAGACUUCUAUUUCUAGUAGCUUUGGAGAGUGCACAAAUCAAAGAUUCUUUUUUCCAUCCUGAGAAAAAUGAGACUUACGGAGCUUACAGUAAUGUUACACUCAAUUACGAGGACUACGAAAGUUUUGAGCAUUUGUCUAUAUAUAUUGGAUGCUGAAACUGAAACAGUGACAUUGAAGACUAAUCAAAACAAUUUAUAUGGCCAGAUUCUAACUUGUAUGAGCGUCCGUGACGCUUGUGUUACAUGAAUUUUUGACAAAGUGAAAUUUCUCGGUUUUCACAAGCUCCUCUUUCGUUUUGAGAUCGCACCUCGACAGGAUCGUCGGCAUGGGAAACGUUUUCGCAAAGAUCAGAGCUGGUCUUCUGAUCACGGUAUUUGGACUACGAGGUUACAGGUAACUUCUCCGAGCGGCGAGGAUCGAUGAUAUCGAUGAUAUCAUAAUUAUAUUUAAAAAAUGCCUUUACGGCAUGUUUAUACGUGCGAAAUUUAACGUACACGUUACCCUUUAAAGCGGGUUGUGUAUUCUUCGCGCAGCAAAAUCUUUCAACUUCACCACUCUCACUUAGUUCAUGACUCUCGCUGUUUAGCGUCCAAGAGUCUUCUUUUAUCAAGCAUAACGUUUCUUCGUGUUUUUCCCAAAUGUAUAACGCGUCAAUGGAACAGGUAUCGCCGAUGAUUUCACUCAUUCACGCCAGCACUUCUUGGAUUAUUCGUAUGCAUAAGUUCUACCCGUUUGGUUCGGACAGUUUUCAUGCGACAUAUCCGGCAGAGGCGUAACAGCAAUAAGAGUAGCAGCAGCAGCAGCUACGACGAUCAGUAACGAAAGCCGCUAAUUUGGAAAAAGGCUGAGAAAAACUCCAUUCCUUCGAGAGCAGCAAUAGCGGCAGUAACACCAAGCUCACUCGUUGGUGAGUCUGACUAAUAGGUUUUCUGUAAUUAUUUGUAAUUUUAAUAUGUGUAUCAGUUGCAAUAUCCAUCCAACCGUUUUGAAGACGUAUCGGUACCUUUCUCCGUAUAAUUUUCUCACAGGCAUAAUUUUUUUCCAAUCUUUAUGUCGCCUGAAUUUUUUGAGCUGCAUAAAAACUUUGUAUUCUUGCACUCGUAUAAAUUCAUAAUCUUAUAUUAAAAGACACAAUGGCACAAAUGAUUAAUUCUGAUCUUUAUAAUUUUUUCUCUUUAAAAUCUUUAAAAUUUAUAAAAUAUUUACUAAUAUAAAGUGAGUGUUCUUCUUCCGAGCACUAAUAAUAAUUAACAUGGAAUGGUUAAAUUUUGUUUCACACCUGUCCGAUAGGUUUAAUGUUUUCUGGAUAUCUUAGUGAACUUAUAGAUUCUUUUAAAGGUGAUAAAUUAACAAUCAUAAUUUGUUUUUUUAGGGUUACUAGGCGAUGUGUUAUCUUCCUGUAACCAUAUUUUCAGUUUUUCUUUUGAUCUCGUUAUUGAUUUAGGUUUGAUAAUAAAUAAUUAAUAAAUAAUAAAUAAUUAAUAAUAAAUAAUUAAUAUAAUUAAUAAAUAAUUAAUGAAUUAUUAAAUUAGGUCAAAGGCUAGAGAAGUUAGCCUUUUAUGGUGUUUUCAAUUUUUCUUUUAAUCUCGUAUUGAAACUGGGCGAGUUUUUGUAUUUCUUAGUUUGUCCAAGUUGAACUUUUUAUGAUUGUAUUAUGUCUUAUAUAUAUUAUGUAUUAUGGUAUAUUUUGUUAUUUUACGGUACCCCUUCUACUACAAAUUGAAUUAAAGAAAUAUGUCUUCAAAUACGGUGCGCAGAUCGUGUAUGGUUGGAUAUUGUAACGAUAAGAAUUUCACACACCGACACCCGUAUCGUCUCUUAUAGGCAAUUACUUCACUAUAUUUUUUACUCUUGUGAAAUUACUUUUCACUGUUAAUAUGAAUACUGUUAUAAUGAAUUAUUUCUUACCGUCAAAAAAUUUUCACUGAUAAAAAAUUUAGAAUGUAAUUACCGACGAGAUACUAUUAAAGACCGACACUCUUACGGGAGUUAGCGUGGCUGUUUAGUAAUUGCUAAAAGUCGAUAACAUCGACACUCUACAAUUACCUCCGGGUCCUUUGGCCGGCACGAAAAUUUGCCCAGGGCUGACGGUCUUUAACAGUAUCUCGUCGGUGGUAUAAUACAAUGUAAUGCAAUGUUCAGGCUGUAUAGCCCCUGGUGGGGGCGGAAGAAGAAGAUGUAAUAUAAUGUAAUUAUAUGUAAUAAUUAUAUGUAAAAUGUUAUACAAUGCAAUUAUAU